CGCAUGGUAGGAGAGCGUUCCGUAAGCCUGCGAAGGUGCCUUGUAAAGGGUGCUGGAGGUAUCGGAAGUGCGAAUGCUGACAUGAGUAGCGAUAAAGGGGGUGAAAGGCCCCCUCGCCGUAAGCCCAAGGUUUCCUACGCAACGUUCAUCGGCGUAGGGUGAGUCGGCCCCUAAGGCGAGGCAGAAAUGCGUAGCUGAUGGGAAGCAGGUCAAUAUUCCUGCACCGUCGUUAGAUGCGAUGGGGGGACGGAUCGCGGAAGGUUGUCCGGGUGUUGGAAGUCCCGGUCGCUGCAUUGGAGAAGGCGCUUAGGCAAAUCCGGGCGCAGGAUUCAAGGGUGUGGCGCGAGCGACUUAGGUCGCGAAGCAAUUGGAAGUGGUUCCAAGAAAAGCCUCUAAGCUUCAGUCUAACGAUGACCGUACCGCAAACCGACACAGGUGGGCGAGAUGAGUAUUCUAAGGCGCUUGAGAGAACUCGGGAGAAGGAACUCGGCAAAUUGGUACCGUAACUUCGGGAUAAGGUACGCCCUUGUAGCUUGACUGGCCUGCGCCAGGAGGGUGAAGGGGUUGCAAUAAACUGGUGGCUGCGACUGUUUAAUAAAAACACAGCACUCUGCAAACACGAAAGUGGACGUAUAGGGUGUGACGCCUGCCCGGUGCCGGAAGAUUAAAUGAUGGGGUGCAAGCUCUUGAUUGAAGUCCCGGUAAACGGCGGCCGUAACUAUAACGGUCCUAAGGUAGCGAAAUUCCUUGUCGGGUAAGUUCCGACCUGCACGAAUGGCGUAACGAUGGCCACACUGUCUCCUCCCGAGACUCAGCGAAGUUGAAGUGUUUGUGAUGAUGCAAUCUACCCGCGGCUAGACGGAAAGACCCCAUGAACCUUUACUGUAGCUUUGCAUUGGACUUUGAACCGAUCUGUGUAGGAUAGGUGGGAGGCUAUGAAACCGGAACGCCAGUUUCGGUGGAGCCGUCCUUGAAAUACCACCCUGGUUUGUUUGAGGUUCUAACCUUGGCCCGUGAUCCGGGUCGGGGACAGUGCAUGGUAGGCAGUUUGACUGGGGCGGUCUCCUCCCAAAGCGUAACGGAGGAGUACGAAGGUACGCUAGGUACGGUCGGAAAUCGUGCUGAUAGUGCAAUGGCAUAAGCGUGCUUAACUGCGAGACCGACAAGUCGAGCAGGUGCGAAAGCAGGUCAUAGUGAUCCGGUGGUUCUGUAUGGAAGGGCCAUCGCUCAACGGAUAAAAGGUACUCUGGGGAUAACAGGCUGAUACCGCCCAAGAGUUCAUAUCGACGGCGGUGUUUGGCACCUCGAUGUCGGCUCAUCUCAUCCUGGGGCUGUAGCCGGUCCCAAGGGUAUGGCUGUUCGCCAUUUAAAGAGGUACGUGAGCUGGGUUUAAAACGUCGUGAGACAGUUUGGUCCCUAUCUGCCGUGGGCGUUGGAUAUUUGAAGGGGGCUGCUCCUAGUACGAGAGGACCGGAGUGGACGAACCUCUGGUGUACCGGUUGUGACGCCAGUCGCAUCGCCGGGUAGCUAUGUUCGGAAGAGAUAACCGCUGAAAGCAUCUAAGCGGGAAACUCGCCUUAAGAUGAGAUAUCCCUGGGGACUUGAUCCCCUUGAAGGGUCGUUCGAGACCAGGACGUUGAUAGGUCAGGUGUGUAAGCGCAGUAAUGCGUUCAGCUAACUGAUACUAAUUGCCCGUAAGGCUUGAUCCUAUAAC
This 1714-nucleotide ribosomal RNA is filed under the name Burkholderia ubonensis. Its description in RNAcentral is "bacterial LSU rRNA". It matches the Rfam family "Bacterial large subunit ribosomal RNA", at positions 1222 to 2925 of the family's 2925-position model. Lineage: Bacteria; Pseudomonadati; Pseudomonadota; Betaproteobacteria; Burkholderiales; Burkholderiaceae. The record is from RNAcentral.